GCAAUCUUGUAUAGCACAGUCCUGCCUGUCUGCACCAUGGCCUGGGCUCCUCUCCUGCUCACACUUCUGGCUCACAUCACAGGGGUCGAAUCCCAGGCUGUGGUGACUCAGGAAUCUUCACUGUACAUCUCUCCUGGAGGGACAGU
This 146-nucleotide long non-coding RNA is filed under the name Cavia porcellus (domestic guinea pig). RNAcentral describes it as "lncRNA (ENSCPOG00000030077.1)". The record is from RNAcentral. Lineage: Eukaryota; Metazoa; Chordata; Mammalia; Rodentia; Caviidae.